GACGAACGCUGGCGGCGUGCUUAACACAUGCAAGUCGAACGCUGAAGCCUAGCUUGCUGGGUGGAUGAGUGGCGAACGGGUGAGUAACACGUGAGUAACCUGCCCCCUUCUUUGGGAUAACGCCCGGAAACGGGUGCUAAUACUGGAUAUUCACUGGUCUUCGCAUGGGGGUUGGUGGAAAGGUUUUUUCUGGUGGGGGAUGGGCUCGCGGCCUAUCAGCUUGUUGGUGGGGUGAUGGCCUACCAAGGCUUUGACGGGUAGCCGGCCUGAGAGGGUGACCGGUCACAUUGGGACUGAGAUACGGCCCAGACUCCUACGGGAGGCAGCAGUGGGGAAUAUUGCACAAUGGGCGAAAGCCUGAUGCAGCGACGCCGCGUGAGGGAUGGAGGCCUUCGGGUUGUAAACCUCUUUCGCUCAUGGUCAAGCCGCAACUUGGGGUUGUGGUGAGGGUAGUGGGUAAAGAAGCGCCGGCUAACUACGUGCCAGCAGCCGCGGUAAUACGUAGGGCGCGAGCGUUGUCCGGAAUUAUUGGGCGUAAAGGGCUUGUAGGCGGUUGGUCGCGUCUGCCGUGAAAUCCUCUGGCUUAACUGGGGGCGUGCGGUGGGUACGGGCUGACUUGAGUGCGGUAGGGGAGACUGGAACUCCUGGUGUAGCGGUGGAAUGCGCAGAUAUCAGGAAGAACACCGGUGGCGAAGGCGGGUCUCUGGGCCGUUACUGACGCUGAGGAGCGAAAGCGUGGGGAGCGAACAGG
This 751-nucleotide ribosomal RNA is filed under the name uncultured Actinomyces sp. RNAcentral's name for it is "bacterial SSU rRNA". It matches the Rfam family "Bacterial small subunit ribosomal RNA", at positions 28 to 776 of the family's 1533-position model. The record is from RNAcentral. Lineage: Bacteria; Bacillati; Actinomycetota; Actinomycetes; Actinomycetales; Actinomycetaceae.